RNAcentral lists this ribosomal RNA (446 nucleotides) under uncultured bacterium. RNAcentral describes it as "bacterial SSU rRNA". It matches the Rfam family "Bacterial small subunit ribosomal RNA", at positions 15 to 507 of the family's 1533-position model. The record is from RNAcentral.
GAUCAUGGCUCAGAACGAACGCUGGCGGCAUGCCUAACACAUGCAAGUCGAACGAGACCUUCGGGUCUAGUGGCGCACGGGUGCGUAACGCGUGGGAAUCUGCCCCUUGGUUCGGAAUAACGGUUAGAAAUGACUGCUAAUACCGGAUGAUGACGAAAGUCCAAAGAUUUAUCGCCGAGGGAUGAGCCCGCGUAGGAUUAGCUAGUUGGUGAGGUAAAGGCUCACCAAGGCGACGAUCCUUAGCUGGUCUGAGAGGAUGAUCAGCCACACUGGGACUGAGACACGGCCCAGACUCCUACGGGAGGCAGCAGUGGGGAAUAUUGGACAAUGGGCGAAAGCCUGAUCCAGCAAUGCCGCGUGAGUGAUGAAGGCCUUAGGGUCGUAAAGCUCUUUUACCAGGGAUGAUAAUGACAGUACCUGGAGAAUAAGCUCCGGCUAACUCCGUG